This 510-nucleotide ribosomal RNA is filed under the name uncultured bacterium. RNAcentral's name for it is "partial 16S ribosomal RNA". It matches the Rfam family "Bacterial small subunit ribosomal RNA", at positions 28 to 507 of the family's 1533-position model. The record is from RNAcentral.
GACGAACGCUGGCGGCGUGCUUAACACAUGCAAGUCGAACGAAGAGCGAUGGAAGCUUGCUUCUAUCAAUCUUAGUGGCGAACGGGUGAGUAACGCGUAAUCAACCUGCCCUUCAGAGGGGGACAACAGUUGGAAACGACUGCUAAUACCGCAUACGAUCUAAUCUCGGCAUCGAGGAUAGAUGAAAGGUGGCCUCUACAUGUAAGCUAUCACUGAAGGAGGGGAUUGCGUCUGAUUAGCUAGUUGGAGGGGUAACGGCCCACCAAGGCGAUGAUCGGUAGCCGGUCUGAGAGGAUGAACGGCCACAUUGGGACUGAGACAAGGCCCAGACUCCUACGGGAGGCAGCAGUGGGGAAUCUUCCGCAAUGGACGAAAGUCUGACGGAGCAACGCCGCGGGAGUGAAGACGGCCUUCGGGUUGUAAAGCUCUGUUAAUCGGGACGAAAGGCCUUCUUGCGAAUAGUGAGAAGGAUUGACGGUACCGGAAUAGAAAGCCACGGCUAACUACGUG